Molecule: unclassified non-coding RNA, 378 nt
Filed under: plant metagenome
Description: partial contains 5.8S ribosomal RNA, internal transcribed spacer 2, and large subunit ribosomal RNA
Rfam family: 5.8S ribosomal RNA (bases 1-105)
Source: RNAcentral
GAAAUGCGAUAAGUAAUGUGAAUUGCAGAAUUCAGUGAAUCAUCGAAUCUUUGAACGCACCUUGCGCUCCUUGGUAUUCCUUGGAGCAUGCCUGUUUGAGUAUCAUGAAAUCUUCAAAGUAAAUCUUUUGUUAACUCACUUGGUUUCUACUUUGGUAUUGGAGGUCUUUGCAGCUUCACACCUGCUCCUCUUUGUUCAUUAGCUGGAUCUCAGUGUUAUGCUUGGUUCCACUCGGCGUGAUAAGUUAUCUAUCGCUGAGGACAAUGUAAAAGGUGGCCAAGGUAAAUGCAGAUGAACCGCUUCUAAUAGUCCAUUGACUUGGACAAUACUUUUAUGAUCUGAUCUCAAAUCAGGUAGGACUACCCGCUGAACUUAAGC